RNAcentral lists this ribosomal RNA (496 nucleotides) under uncultured bacterium. Its description in RNAcentral is "partial 16S ribosomal RNA". It matches the Rfam family "Bacterial small subunit ribosomal RNA", at positions 899 to 1397 of the family's 1533-position model. The record is from RNAcentral.
ACUCAAAGGAAUAGACGGGGGCCCGCACAAGCGGCGGAGCAUGCGGCUUAAUUCGAUGCGACGCGAAGAACCUUACCUGGGCUUGACAUGCAGGGUGAAACCCGUGAAAGCGGGUGCUCUACGGAGCCUGCACAGGUGGUGCAUGGCUGUCGUCAGCUCGUGCCGUGAGGUGUUGCCUUAAGUGGCGCAACGAGCGCAACCCCUAUCCUCAGUUGCCAGCGGAUCAUGCCGGGAACUCUGGGGAGACUGCCGGUGCCAAACCGGAGGAAGGUGGGGAUGACGUCAAGUCAUCAUGCCCCUUAUGUCCAGGGCUGCACGCAUGCUACAAUGCGCAGUACAACGGGCUGCGAUCCCGCAAGGGGGAGCGAAUCCCAAAAAGCUGCGCUCAGUUCGGAUCGGGGUCUGCAACUCGACCCCGUGAAGUCGGAGUCGCUAGUAAUCGCGGAUCAGCAAUGCCGCGGUGAAUACGUUCCCGGGCCUUGUACACACCGCCCGU